This 426-nucleotide ribosomal RNA is filed under the name uncultured bacterium. Its description in RNAcentral is "partial 16S ribosomal RNA". It matches the Rfam family "Bacterial small subunit ribosomal RNA", at positions 354 to 796 of the family's 1533-position model. The record is from RNAcentral.
GUGAGGAAUUUUCCGCAAUGGGCGAAAGCCUGACGGAGCAAUGCCGCGUGAAGGAUGAAGGCCUAUGGGUUGUAAACUUCUUUUCUCAGAAAAGAAUUAUGACGGUAUCUGAGGAAUAAGCCCCGGCUAACUUCGUGUCAGCAGCCGCGGUAAUACGAAGGGGGCGAGCGUUAUUCGGAAUCACUGGGCGUAAAGCGUGCGUAGGCUGUUUUGUAAGUCAGAAGUGAAAGCCCAGGGCUUAACCCUGGAAUUGCUUUUGAAACUACAAGACUCGAAUUCGGGAGAGGAUAGCGGAAUUGUCAGUGUAGCAGUGAAAUGCGUAGAUAUUGACAGGAACACCAGUGGCGCAAGCGGCUAUCUGGACCGAUAUUGACGCUGAGGCACGAAAGCGUGGGGAGCAAACAGGAUUAGAAACCCUUGUAGUCC